AUAUUGAGUCAUUACCAGUUUUAUGAUAGCAUAACUAGUCGAUCCGUCUUAUUGUCAAUAUUAAAACUAAGGCUGUAACAAAUAACAUUUUACGUUUUACACACAUGGACUACAGAAUGGAGCAGAUCGCUAAUUACAGACAUCAAAUACAAGGAUGGUUCCAUUAUUGUAACAGAAUACAACAUUAUAAUUGAAUAAUUGACGGUGAAGCAACUGAAGACACACAAGUGAGUGUCGAAACGUCUUGCGUAUGUUCGCGUAUAUUUAUUAAAAUGUUUUUUAUGUUAGCGUAUCAUCACGGAUAAUUAUUAUAAUGUAACUUAUUUUCGUAAUUAAUUCAUAGCUUGUAUCCGCAAUUUUUAUGAAAUAAUUCGAUUCAUUAAUAUAUUUAGUAAUUAAGAAAUAUAUUUCUGAAAAAGGAAAAAAAUUUUAAUUUACGGUUGUAAUUCGCAUCUUUUAUGUUGUAACAAUUUCGCAAUAAAGUAUCUUUUCAUUA
Molecule: long non-coding RNA, 496 nt
Organism: Nylanderia fulva
Lineage: Eukaryota; Metazoa; Arthropoda; Insecta; Hymenoptera; Formicidae
Source: RefSeq, a predicted model, not a curated record